RNAcentral lists this ribosomal RNA (274 nucleotides) under uncultured bacterium. Its description in RNAcentral is "partial 16S ribosomal RNA". It matches the Rfam family "Bacterial small subunit ribosomal RNA", at positions 523 to 796 of the family's 1533-position model. The record is from RNAcentral.
AUACGGAGGGUCCGAGCGUUAUCCGGAAUCAUUGGGUUUAAAGGGUCCGUAGGCGGGAAUCUAAGUCAGUGUUGAAAUCUUGCAGCUCAACUGUAAAAUUGCCAUUGAUACUGGAUUUCUUGAAUUAGUGUGAAGUGAUUAGAAUGUGUAGUGUAGCGGUGAAAUGCAUAGAUAUUACACAGAAUACCAAUUGCGAAGGCAGAUCACUAACACUAUACUGACGCUGAGGGACGAAAGCGUGGGGAGCGAACAGGAUUAGAAACCCCAGUAGUCC